AUGAUUCCGGCCGCCGCGCUGACGGCGUUGCUGCUGCAGCUCUGCCUCUCAGCGGCAGCAGCUCAGGUUACGCCAGGCGCAGGCUCGCGCUGCCCAGCCAGCUGCGGCGCCGUGCGCGUGCCGUACCCGUUCGGCAUCGGCGACGGGUGCCACUGGCCGGGGUUCAACCUCACCUGCGACCGGACGCGCGCCGGAGAGCCGCGGCUGCUCGUCGGCACCGGCCUCCAGGUCGUGGGGAUCUCCCUGGCCAACUCCACGGUGCGGGUCGUGGACAGCGCGGGCCAGGUCACGCUCAACUUCACCGGGCCCGGAGGCCUCGACGGCACCGGUGCGUGGGGCGGCCUCGGCGCCGCCAGCCCGUACGUGCUGUCGGAGUGGCGCAACCAGUUCGUCGUCACGGGGUGCAACGUGCAGGCCACGCUCGUCGGGGACGGCGGCGGCGGCAACGUCAUCAGCGGCUGCUCCUCCUUCUGCUCCAUCAACGACAAGUGGACCGGCGCCGUCACCAACUCGACCUCCACCGGCGACGGCGCCACCGCGUGCUCCGGCAUCGGCUGCUGCGAGACGCCCGUCCCCAUCGGCCGCCCCUCCUACCGCGUGGAGAUCAAGUCGCUGGACUCGAGCAACGAGCACGCCGACAGGCUCCCCAUCGCGGUGCGCAUCGCCGAGAGAGGGUGGUUCGACGGCGCCUCCGCCGCGCUCCUCAACGACUCGCCCGGGUACUCGCCCUCGCGCCGGCCGGCGGUGCCCGUCGUCCUCGAGUUCGCGGUGGACUCGAAGCCGGUGGAGCUGCCGGGAGUGGCAACGUCGGGCUGCCCCGUGGACGCACGGAGGAGCGCGUGCCGGAGCAGCCACGCCUCCUGCCACAACGUCUCCGGCAACUACCGCAGCGGCUACGUGUGCCGGUGCCUGGACGGCUACCAGGGCAACCCAUACCUCGCCGGCGGAUGCCAGGACGUCGACGAGUGCACGCUGCCGGGCAUGUGCUUCGGCGAGUGCACCAACACGGCCGGAGGGCACCUAUGCCGGUGCCCGCGAGGCGCCCAAGGCGACCCCCGCAUAAGAAAUGGCUGCAUCAGAUCUUCUCUAGGUUUAAGUGUCGGCAUUGGAGUUGGCAGUGGAGCAGCCCUUCUAAUCAUGGUACUUGGUGCUAUUUUGAUGACUCGAAAGAUGAAGCAACGGAGGGCAAAAAUGCUCAAGAAGAAAUUCUUCAAGCAAAAUCGAGGGCAUCUGUUGCAACAGUUGGUGUCUCAGAAGGCGGACAUCGCCGAGAGGAUGAUCAUCCCCUUGGUGGAGCUACAAAAGGCAACAAACAAUUUCGACAAAGCUCGUGAGAUCGGUGGAGGAGGGCAUGGCACGGUCUACAAAGGGAUCAUGUCGGACCUGCACGUCGUGGCGAUCAAGAAGUCCAAGGUCGCGAUCCAGAGGGAGAUCGACGAGUUCAUAAAUGAGGUAGCCAUCCUCUCGCAGAUCAACCAUCGAAACGUGGUGAAGCUCUUUGGGUGUUGCCUUGAGACGGAGGUGCCUUUGCUGGUGUACGAGUUCAUCUCCAAUGGGACCCUUUACCAUCAUCUUCAUGUCCAAGAACCCGCGCCAUCCCUGACAUGGAAAUAUCGGGUAAGGAUCGCAACCGAAACUGCGAGAGCUCUCGCCUACCUUCACUCGGCCGUGUCGUUCCCUAUAGUCCACAGGGAUAUCAAGUCCCAAAACAUUCUGUUAGAUGGCACUCUCGUAGCAAAGGUGUCAGACUUUGGAGCUUCGAGGUGCAUUCCGGUCGAUCAAACAGAGACUGCAACCGCUAUCCAAGGGACAUUUGGGUACCUAGAUCCCUUGUACUUCUACUCGGGACAGCUCACCGAGAAGAGCGACGUUUACAGCUUCGGUGUCCUUCUCAUGGAGCUUUUGACAAGGAAAAAACCAUGCUCAUAUCGGUCGUCCGAGGAGGAAACCCUUGUCUCAUAUUUCACUGCUUCGCUAGCAGCAGGCGAGCUGGUUCACGUGCUAGAUCCUCAAGUCGUUGAAGAAGGCGGCAAGGAGGUUGAAGAGGUGGCUGUGCUGGCAGUGGCAUGCGUGAGGAUUGAAGGAGACCACCGGCCAACCAUGAGGCAAGUGGAGUUGACACUUGAGAGCCUUGGGGCCUCACAUGAUAGCUUUGUGAUGCAUGACAUGGAUGUGCCCAAGUAUCCAGUGAUUCAGGGUACAAAUAUGGAGGAAACGAGCCGGCAGUAUAGCUUGGAAGCAGAGUACUUGUUGUCAUCAAGGUAUCCUCGGUAG
RNAcentral lists this ribosomal RNA (2274 nucleotides) under Triticum aestivum (bread wheat). RNAcentral describes it as "partial small subunit ribosomal RNA". Lineage: Eukaryota; Viridiplantae; Streptophyta; Magnoliopsida; Poales; Poaceae. The record is from RNAcentral.